Molecule: non-coding RNA, 780 nt
Filed under: Onthophagus orientalis
Lineage: Eukaryota; Metazoa; Arthropoda; Insecta; Coleoptera; Scarabaeidae
Source: RNAcentral
UAAUUUAUAUUUUUAUUAUAUGCUAAUUUUUGUAUAAAAAUUUAUUUAAAUAAUAAAUUUAAUAAAAUUUUUAUUUUUAAUGCAAUAUUUAAAUUUUUAUAAUAAAAGAAAUUUUGAUAAAGAAAUAUAUAAUGGUAUUGGUAAAAUUUGUGCCAGCAAUCGCGGUUAAACAGGUGAUACAAUUAAAUUUUUUCUAAUAGAUAAUAAAUAUAGUAUAAAAAUAUUAAUUUAAAAUUAAAUUUAAUAAGUGAAAUUAUAAAUUUAAAUAAAAUUAAUAAAAAGAUUAUAAAAUUAUGAAACUUUACUAUUAAACUAGGAUUAGAUACCCUAUUAUACAGAGUGUAAAAUAAAAAUAUUAGAGUAGUAUCAGUUAUGUUCUUGAAAUUUAAAAGAUUUGGCGGUAUUUUAGUCUUUUCAGAGGAACCUGUUCUAUAAUUGAUGAUCCACGAUUAAUUGUACUUAAUUUAUUAGUUUAUAUAUCGUCGUAGGUUGAAUAUCUUAUAAGAGAUAAAAUAUUCAUAAUUUAUUAUGUUUUAUAAUAAAGGAAAUCAGAUCAAGGUGUAGUUUAUAAUUAAGAAGAAAUGGGUUACAAUAAAUUUAUUUAUAAUGAAUAUAAUAUUUAAAAUUAUUAUUGAAGGUGGAUUUGAAAGUAAUAUAUUUAAUUUAAAAUAUAUGAUUUUAGCUCUAAAAUAUGUACAUAUCGCCCGUCGCUUUCAUUGAAAUUUAAAGUGAAAUAAGUCGUAACAUAGUGGGUGUACCGGAAGGUGUACCUAGGUUGAU